Molecule: ribosomal RNA, 997 nt
Filed under: Lactiplantibacillus plantarum
Lineage: Bacteria; Bacillati; Bacillota; Bacilli; Lactobacillales; Lactobacillaceae
Description: bacterial SSU rRNA
Rfam family: Bacterial small subunit ribosomal RNA
Source: RNAcentral
GGUGCUUGCAUCAUGAUUUACAUUUGAGUGAGUGGCGAACUGGUGAGUAACACGUGGGAAACCUGCCCAGAAGCGGGGGAUAACACCUGGAAACAGAUGCUAAUACCGCAUAACAACUUGGACCGCAGGGUCCGAGUUUGAAAGAUGGCUUCGGCUAUCACUUUUGGAUGGUCCCGCGGCGUAUUAGCUAGAUGGUGGGGUAACGGCUCACCAUGGCAAUGAUACGUAGCCGACCUGAGAGGGUAAUCGGCCACAUUGGGACUGAGACACGGCCCAAACUCCUACGGGAGGCAGCAGUAGGGAAUCUUCCACAAUGGACGAAAGUCUGAUGGAGCAACGCCGCGUGAGUGAAGAAGGGUUUCGGCUCGUAAAACUCUGUUGUUAAAGAAGAACAUAUCUGAGAGUAACUGUUCAGGUAUUGACGGUAUUUAACCAGAAAGCCACGGCUAACUACGUGCCAGCAGCCGCGGUAAUACGUAGGUGGCAAGCGUUGUCCGGAUUUAUUGGGCGUAAAGCGAGCGCAGGCGGUUUUUUAAGUCUGAUGUGAAAGCCUUCGGCUCAACCGAAGAAGUGCAUCGGAAACUGGGAGACUUGAGUGCAGAAGAGGACAGUGGAACUCCAUGUGUAGCGGUGAAAUGCGUAGAUAUAUGGAAGAACACCAGUGGCGAAGGCGGCUGUCUGGUCUGUAACUGACGCUGAGGCUCGAAAGUAUGGGUAGCAAACAGGAUUAGAUACCCUGGUAGUCCAUACCGUAAACGAUGAAUGCUAAGUGUUGGAGGGUUUCCGCCCUUCAGUGCUGCAGCUAACGCAUUAAGCAUUCCGCCUGGGGAGUACGGCCGCAAGGCUGAAACUCAAAGGAAUUGACGGGGGCCCGCACAAGCGGUGGAGCAUGUGGUUUAAUUCGAAGCUACGCGAAGAACCUUACCAGGUCUUGACAUACUAUGCAAAUCUAAGAGAUUAGACGUUCCCUUCGGGGACAUGGAUACAGGUGGUGCAU